This 78-nucleotide small RNA is filed under the name Flavobacterium sp. 270. Its description in RNAcentral is "Flavo-1 RNA". It matches the Rfam family "Flavo-1 RNA". The record is from RNAcentral. Lineage: Bacteria; Pseudomonadati; Bacteroidota; Flavobacteriia; Flavobacteriales; Flavobacteriaceae.
UUCUAACUUCGAUAGAAGUGGAAAACCUUUUAUGUCGGGGUUUGUCAUAAAAGAUUGUAACGGAUAGCGGGACAAAAG